Molecule: ribosomal RNA, 511 nt
Filed under: uncultured bacterium
Lineage: Bacteria
Description: bacterial SSU rRNA
Rfam family: Bacterial small subunit ribosomal RNA
Source: RNAcentral
GAUCUGGCUCAGGGAUGAACGCUAGCGACAGGCUUAACACAUGCAAGUCGAGGGCAGCAUAGAAGUAGCAAUACUUGGUGGCGACCGGCGCACGGGUGAGUAACGCGUAUGCAACCUACCUAUCAGAGGGGAAUAACCCGGCGAAAGUCGGACUAAUACCGCAGUAAAACAGGGGCACCGCAUGGUGAUAUUGUUAAAGAAAUUCGCUGAUAGAUGGGCAUGCGUUCCAUUAGGUAGUUGGUGAGGUAACGGCUCACCAAGCCGACGAUGGAUAGGGGAACUGAGAGGUUGGUCCCCCACACUGGUACUGAGACACGGACCAGACUCCUACGGGAGGCAGCAGUGAGGAAUAUUGGUCAAUGGGCGGGAGCCUGAACCAGCCAAGUCGCGUGAAGGAAAAGAAGGAUCUAUGGUUCGUAAACUUCUUUUGCAGGGGAAUAAAGUGCAGGACGUGUCCUGUUUUGUAUGUACCCUGAGAAUAAGGAUCGGCUAACUCCGUGCCAGCAGCUGC